This 347-nucleotide unclassified non-coding RNA is filed under the name soil metagenome. RNAcentral describes it as "partial contains 5.8S ribosomal RNA, internal transcribed spacer 2, and large subunit ribosomal RNA". The stretch from base 1 to 120 matches the Rfam family "5.8S ribosomal RNA", at positions 35 to 154 of the family's 154-position model. The record is from RNAcentral.
GAUGAAGAACGUAGCGAAAUGCGAUAAGUAAUGUGAAUUGCAGAAUUCAGUGAAUCAUCGAGUCUUUGAACGCACAUUGCGCCCCCUGGUAUUCCGGGGGGCAUGCCUGUCCGAGCGUCAUUGCUGCCCUCAAGCACGGCUUGUGUGUUGGGCCGUCGUCCCCCUCCUAGGGGACGGGCCCGAAAGGCAGCGGCGGCACCGCGUCCGGUCCUCGAGCGUAUGGGGCUUCGUCACCCGCUCCGUAGGCCCGACCGGCGCUUGCCGACGACCAUCAAUCUCUUUCUCCAGGUUGACCUCGGAUCAGGUAGGGAUACCCGCUGAACUUAAGCAUAUCAAUAAGCGGAGGA